Molecule: transfer RNA, 73 nt
Filed under: Felis catus (domestic cat)
Lineage: Eukaryota; Metazoa; Chordata; Mammalia; Carnivora; Felidae
Also listed under: 3 other names
Rfam family: tRNA
About the family: Transfer RNA (tRNA) molecules are approximately 80 nucleotides in length. Their secondary structure includes four short double-helical elements and three loops (D, anti-codon, and T loops).
Source: Rfam by way of RNAcentral
GCCUGGCUGGCUCAGUCAGAAGAGCAUGUGACUCUUGAUCUCAAGGUCAUGAGUGUGAGUCCCACGUUGGGUA